AGCUUUGCAGUGGCAGUAUCAUAGCCAAUAAGGUUUAUCAGAGGUGUAAUUAUUGCUAAUUGAGCAUAUUUUCAGAUGCAAUCAGUAUCUAUCUUAAAAUACAGUAUUUAUUUGUACAACUUGUCUUAAAAU
This 132-nucleotide small nuclear RNA is filed under the name Canis lupus familiaris (dog). Its description in RNAcentral is "U4 spliceosomal RNA". It matches the Rfam family "U4 spliceosomal RNA". From Rfam's summary of the family: U4 small nuclear RNA (U4 snRNA) is a component of the major U2-dependent spliceosome. The structure of U4 snRNA from yeast and human has been reported. U4 snRNA presents a k-turn RNA motif in the 5p-SL related to recognition of Snu13 protein. The record is from Rfam by way of RNAcentral. Lineage: Eukaryota; Metazoa; Chordata; Mammalia; Carnivora; Canidae. RNAcentral also lists the same sequence under 1 other name.